GAGACGGUACACACACCAGCUCAGUUCUAACAUCAGCCUCCCACCAGAUGGCCAGGAUGUUCUGAGAAACGUGUCUCAAUCUUCUCCACCAGCUCCUUCCCGAAUGGUGGAGGAUAGAACCUAGAGACGCAGUAAAAAUGUCACUGUGUAAUAAAUGGGCGCAUGAGAGAGAGAGAGGGUAUAGAGUGGAGAAGAGGACAGAGGGGUUGUUCUGAGAUGCGGACCAGAAGGUCGUGAGUUCAAAUCCCAGCACUGCAUACAGCUGCCACUGCUGGACUCUUGAGCAAGACCCUGAACCCUGAACUGCUCAGCUGUAUCAAUGAAAUAAAUGUAUAAGGGUAUCUGCCAAAUGGCGUAAAUGUACACUCGUCGUCCACUUUAUUAGGAACACCUGCACAUUCAUGCUGUUAUCCAGUCAGCCAAUCGUGUGGCAGCAGCACAAAGCAAAAAUGCUUGCAGAUACAGGGC
Long non-coding RNA from Ictalurus punctatus (channel catfish), 468 nucleotides. The record is from Ensembl. Lineage: Eukaryota; Metazoa; Chordata; Actinopteri; Siluriformes; Ictaluridae.